RNAcentral lists this non-coding RNA (211 nucleotides) under Falsiruegeria litorea R37. The record is from RNAcentral. Lineage: Bacteria; Pseudomonadati; Pseudomonadota; Alphaproteobacteria; Rhodobacterales; Roseobacteraceae. RNAcentral also lists the same sequence under 1 other name.
CCCCAUGUCGCUUGCGUUGGUGUCUGUGCAAACAGAUGAAAAGGGAAUGUGUCAUUCGGCGUCCAGCCGAUUAAACACAGCCGCCCCCGCGACCGUGACCGGAGAGGGUGCCCAAGCCACUGGCCAAUCAGGCCGGGAAGGCGGGUCGCCCGACAGAGACGCCUCUCUGACAUCCGCAAGCCGGGAGACCUGCCAACACCUGAAAGACCAA